ACCCAUUUAUUAACAACUUGAUUUUUAUCUUUUCUAAAUCCUCCGUUUGAGAUCUUGGUAACAAAACAAACUCAAAAUUUUAACAAGGGCUAAUCCAUCUGCGGGGUUUUGGUUCAUGCUUAGCCAAACUAACUAUAUGGUCGAGCUAUGAGAAUUCUAUAAGACAAAUUAUAGUUUUCUUCAAGAUCUUAUUGACUUCAAGGUGUUCAUGUGUAAAGAAGAACAUGACUGCAUGAGAAAGGUAAAGCAGUAAGUUAUAUCCCAAUUUAACGGCAAGCAAACUACAGAGCACAUUAGAGGAUGACAUAAUAUGAACUUAAACUGACGACACUCCUAUAUGAAUGAACCACUAGUAAGCAUAUACCAUGUAGCUAGAAGUGCUUCCAAAACAAAACAGCUCAUCAAGGACAUUACAACCACCAUACUCACCCGUACAUGCAAAAAUAGAGUGAAGCUUCCAUUUUCAGCCAUAGCUAAGUAAAGUCUCAGCUUCAGAACAGGCAGAGGUCACAAAUGGUUAUACAUUAAUUGAUUAAACUAGCAUGGCACUAAACCAAAAUACAAUCAGACAAUACUAUUAAUAAACAACAAAUGGAUCAAUGCUAUAACAAUUUCCACAACUCGAAUUACACACUCAAGCCAGGCUUUAGCUCAAAACUUCAUUAUCAAUAGUGUGAAGAGAUGUACCUGGAUAAAAGUAGAAUAAAAAUGAAUUGAUGGGAAGAAGCAGUAAACAGCAGGAAUCCAUCCAAGAUUUGACCAAAUACCCAAUGAGUUUAACUUUGAAACCGAUGGAACAAUAACUCUAUUGCAAGUUCAAACCAUUUUAAACCUUUAAUGCAUCGCAAGUUAUUUCAACCAACUCCAGAUUGAAAACCAAGAGAAGAAAUCAAUGCAACAGUAGAAUGCAACUAUUUUUUUUAUUUUUGUUAUUUUUUCGAUUUUCAGCUCCUCUAAUCUCUCACUUUAUGCCUAAGUUUUCAAUUCUUUUAUAGGUCAACCAUUAAGGCAAACUUCAGAUCUUUAUUUUAUCCGUUAGUCCCUACUUAAUCACUUUUUUUGUUACUUAGCCCCUGAUUUUGUAACUUGUUGGCCAAGUCAUAGUCUGAAGAUUUAGAACCCACCCCUGUUAGAAGCUUCUAGGUUGUUAUCCAAAGAAUCUCUACCCUAAAAACUCCAAACUACUCCUCAAACCUUCUACAUUUUACCCUUGCAUAUCAGGCAAAACCUGAGUCCAAGUGACCCAAGCUGAUAAGCCUGAAUAGGCCUCCUAUCGAUUCCUUUUUUGGGCCCUUUAAUUUUGGAAACCCCUAUUGGCAUUGAAAUCCCAAAGUUUCCAAGCCAAUCCAUAGAGUCUCAAAGACUCGUGGAGUUUAGGUCCAAAACAAAAGUAAAAAAAUUUCAAACUAAGCCCUGAAGUCGUUACUACCCACACAAGUCGGAACUCAAUCAUGCAAGCAUAAAAAUGAAAUGAAAACCCAAUAAAGGCUAAACUAGCGAAGAUGAGGUGUAAGCAAAAUACAAAAUUUAACAACCUAGGCGAAAGCAAAUACCAUUUAAGAAGACGAAGAGAUGAACUCAAACACUCGAGGGAAAAUUGCCCGGACCUUGAUGAAUCCGAAAUAGGCUGAUACUCACGUUAACCAACGGCUCUUGAGAAAGCCAUUAAUUAAUGUAAGUCUCAACUCAAAGCAUGCCAAGAAAUCCACGAAAAGGGUUGGAGAGACGAAAGCUUGGAAGUUCCGGCUACUUUGGGAUUUAAGAUUUGAAGAGCUCAGGCCAUAUUCAAAGGUUAUUGGCCAUGGACUAGGUACGAGAGGGUUGUGGUGGUUAAGGGGAAUGAAUUUGGGGAGGUUUUGUGGUGGCGCCGCCGGUCGCGACGGAGGAUUCAAAGGAGGCGCCCUAGGGUUUGGAGGUUUCGCCAGUUUCUGGUGGGGUUUGAGGGAAGUGGGUGGUGGCAUGGGUAUGAGGGGGAGGAGAUGAAUCUAUGGUGUAAAUUUGGUGGCUAUUGGAGUCUCGCCGCCACCAUGGGGCGAUUUUCGGAGGCGGCCGUCGGUGGUGUUACAGGGGAAAAAGACGAAGGGUCCUAAGUUGUCUCUGAAGCCUUCAAACAUCUUUAACUGAUUUUGGUGAGGCUUUCCUGGCCAUUGGAUGAAACCGAAUGAAGGGUCGAGAUUGAAUACCAUGAAACGACAUCAUUUUGGGUGCAACCGGGGCUGGCUGGUCCGGGUAAGAGACUGGAUUUGGGAUUGGCAUGCGGGUGUUUGACCGGGUUUUUGGUGUUUGGGCUUGGAAUAAUGGCCCAAAUCUAUGGUCUUCAGCCCUUUAAAAAAACUGCAUUCCCUUUUUCUUUAUUUAUUUUUUUCAUUUCAAAAUUUAAUUAAAAUCUAGAUUAAGUCCUAGGACUUAAUUAAACCUAAAUGAUACUUAUCACACUUAAUUAUAAAUAAAUUGAAAG
This 2458-nucleotide long non-coding RNA is filed under the name Nicotiana benthamiana. RNAcentral's name for it is "long non-coding RNA (NBEN_LNC003301)". The record is from RNAcentral. Lineage: Eukaryota; Viridiplantae; Streptophyta; Magnoliopsida; Solanales; Solanaceae.